GAUGAAGAACGUAGCGAAAUGCGAUACGUAAUGUGAAUUGCAGAAUUCAGUGAAUCAUCGAAUCUUUGAACGCAUAUUGCGCUCUCUGGUAUUCCGGAGAGCAUGCUUGUUUGUGUAUCAGUAAACACCUCAACUCCCUUUUCUUUUUUGAAAUUGGAGCUGGACUUGAGUGAUCCCAACGCUUUCUUCCAAGAAAGUGGCGGGUUGCUUGAAAUGCAGGUGCAGCUGAACUUUUCUCUGAGCUAUAAGCAUAUCUAUUUAGUCUGCCUAAAAAACAGAUUAUUACCUUUGCUGCAGCUAACAUAAAGGAGACUAGUUCUUGUGCUGACUGAUGCAGGAUUCACAGAGACAGCUUCGGCUGACUUUGUAAACUCGAUCUCAAAUCAAGUAAGACUACCCGCUGAACUUAAGCAUAUCAAUAAGCGGAGGA
This 430-nucleotide unclassified non-coding RNA is filed under the name soil metagenome. RNAcentral's name for it is "partial contains 5.8S ribosomal RNA, internal transcribed spacer 2, and large subunit ribosomal RNA". The stretch from base 1 to 120 matches the Rfam family "5.8S ribosomal RNA", at positions 35 to 154 of the family's 154-position model. The record is from RNAcentral.